This 384-nucleotide ribosomal RNA is filed under the name uncultured prokaryote. RNAcentral describes it as "bacterial SSU rRNA". It matches the Rfam family "Archaeal small subunit ribosomal RNA", at positions 341 to 725 of the family's 1478-position model. The record is from RNAcentral.
GCGAAAACUUUACAAUGCUGGCAACAGCGAUAAGGGAACCUCGAGUGCCAGGUUACAAAUCUGGCCGUCGAGAUGCCUAAAAAGCAUUUCAUAGCAAGGGCCGGGCAAGACCGGUGCCAGCCGCCGCGGUAACACCGGCGGCUCGAGUGGUAACCGUUAUUAUUGGGUCUAAAGGGUCUGUAGCCGGCCGGAUAAGUCUCUUGAGAAAUCUAGCAGCUUAACUGUCAGGCUUUCAGGAGAUACUGUCUGGCUCGAGGCCGGGAGAGGUGAGAGGUACUUCAGGGGUAGGGGUGAAAUCUUGUAAUCCUUGAAGGACCACCAGUGGCGAAGGCGUCUCACCAGAACGGACCUGACGGCAAGGGACGAAAGCUAGGGGCACGAACC